RNAcentral lists this unclassified non-coding RNA (381 nucleotides) under Hevea brasiliensis (rubber tree). The record is from RNAcentral. Lineage: Eukaryota; Viridiplantae; Streptophyta; Magnoliopsida; Malpighiales; Euphorbiaceae.
GGCACCACCCUUCUUCCUCCGCACUCUCGUGGCCUUCCGACGACCGCCGCCCCAAUUUCAACCACCAGUUUGAUCCCUAUGUUCAAUACCCCAAUCACCAUCCCGGGCCCCCUUUUGGCCAUCCCAAUUAUCCCCCUCAGUACCCGCCACAUCCGCCACCUCCGCCUCCUCCGCCGCCGCCGCAGCACCAGCCUCCGUUCCAGCACCAGCACCCGCACACGCCCCAGCCCCAGCCUCAGCCCCCGCCACCUCACCAGCACCAGCAGCCGUACCAGCACCAGCAGAAUAACUGGAGCAAUCCGGAGUUCCAUAAUCAUCCCCCGGAUUACCGUCCCCAACCGCACUUUAACGGCGAGACGAGUGAGGGGUUCGGAAACGGCG